GACGAACGCUGGCGGCGUGCCUAACACAUGCAAGUCGAGCGAGUGAAUCUCCUUCGGGAGUGAAGCUAGCGGCGGACGGGUGAGUAACACGUGGGCAACCUGCCUCAUAGAGGGGAAUAGCCUUUCGAAAGGAAGAUUAAUACCGCAUAAGAUUGUAGCUUCGCAUGAAGUAGCAAUUAAAGGAGCAAUCCGCUAUGAGAUGGGCCCGCGGCGCAUUAGCUAGUUGGUGAGGUAACGGCUCACCAAGGCGACGAUGCGUAGCCGACCUGAGGGGGUGAUCGGCCACAUUGGGACGUGGACACGGCCCAGACUCCUACGGGAGGCAGCAGUGGGGAAUAUUGCACAAUGGGGGAAACCCUGAUGCAGCAACGCCGCGUGAGUGAUGACGGCCUUCGGGUUGUAAAGCUCUGUCUUCAGGGACGAUAAUGACGGUACCUGAGGAGGAAGCCACGGCUAACUACGUGCCAGCCGCCGCGGUAA
RNAcentral lists this ribosomal RNA (480 nucleotides) under uncultured bacterium. RNAcentral's name for it is "partial 16S ribosomal RNA". It matches the Rfam family "Bacterial small subunit ribosomal RNA", at positions 28 to 523 of the family's 1533-position model. The record is from RNAcentral.